Molecule: long non-coding RNA, 2126 nt
Filed under: Homo sapiens (human)
Lineage: Eukaryota; Metazoa; Chordata; Mammalia; Primates; Hominidae
Description: PREDICTED lncRNA (TCONS_00205950)
Source: RNAcentral
GGGGCUUGGCCCUUUAUAGACCUACGAUGUAAUAAUACCCUAACCACAUACCCACCAUACGACUGGAAUCACACAUACACUGCCACAAGAGGUCUGCAGUGAAGGUCCCAAAGUCCCAGACAGAUCUUUCUGCUGAUGCAGCUGUUAAGAGUGUUUCAUAAACUGUGACAACACUAAGCAAAAUCAUAGAAGGAAACUCUAUGGACAAUUUCAGAUGGAGAAGAAGAAAGGACUGGAAGUUCAAUUUGGCCAUGACAAUUAGCUCCUAAGACUUGGAGUACUUUGUUACACAGCAGUAAAUAACUAAUACAGUGAUGUUUGAACAAAGACUUGAAGAAGCUGAGUGAGAAGGCCAUGCAGAUAUCUUGGAGAAGUGCAUUCCAGGCAGAGGAAAAGCCAGUGCAGAGACACUGAAGCAGGGCAUGACUGAUGUGUAUAAGGAGCAUCAUAUACAUGAUCAUCUACAGUCCACUGAGGAGAAUAGCAGACGAGAGGCCAGGUGCAGUGCAUGUAAUCCCAGCACUUUGGGAGACUGAGAUGGGAAGAUCGCUUGAGGCCAGGAGUGCAAGACCAGCCUGGGCAACACAGCAAGACCUUGAUUCUACUAAAAAAAAAAAAGGAUCCUUCAACUUCAACAAUAAUAACACAAGGGAAGGCAAAGUCUUGCUCUGUUGUCCAGGCUGGAGUGCAGUCGUGCAGUCAUGGCUCACUGUAGUCUCAACCUUCCAGGCCCAGGCAAUCCUCCCAUCUCAAACUGCCCAGUGGCUAGUACCACAGUGAAGAAAAACACUUUCUAAGGAAAUCUCUCUCUGAGCUACCAUCCUGCUAGGGAGAGCCUGAAAGCAGAAUGCUGACUUGACUAGCUCUGGUCAAUGAAAGAAAUCACCAGUGGAAAGGCUACCAGGGGGCUUUCUCAAAAGAGAGGGACAGUAAACUGCAAGAUGAACAACUCAAUGCCAUCCAGGUCUGGAUGAGAAAGAACAGUCGAGAGACUGAGUUUCAGGAGUGGAAACACUCAAAGCAUCAUCUUCCACUUUCUUCUCCGGCUGCUAGGAAGAAGGGAAAAACACAGACCUUCUGAGGACCUGCGGAGCAAACCACUGGCUUCAGAAAAGCAAACAGGGACUUCCCUCUGCGCAGCAGGAAGCAGUUAGCCUAGUCGGAGGCUUGACUGAAGAAACAAAUGAGGGAAGGCAGAAGUUGAGACGCAGCCAGUAGAGGAAACUCCGGGAGAGGCAGGCAGCGUCACUUGAAGAAAAGCUCUAUUGUGAUGGGAACAAUCACAGGAACUAAGCGGCAACAAAAUGGCUCCCCACCCCCUCUGCAAAUCCCAACUCCAUGCAAGCACUCUCCCUUCCCUCAUUUUCUUUUCUUUUUUUUUGAGAUGGAGUCUCGCUCUGUUGCCCAGGCUGGAGUGCAGUAGCGCGAUCUCGGCUCACUGCAACCUCCACCUUCUGGUUUCAAGCAAUUCUCCUGCCUCAGCCUCCCCAGUAGCUGGGACUACAGGCGUGUGCCACCACGCCUGGCUAAUUUUUUUUUUUAAUUUUUAGUAGAGACAGAGUUUCACCAUGUUGGCCAGGCUGGUCUCGAACUCCUGGCCUCAAGUGAUCCACCUGCCUCAGCCUCCCAAAGUGGUGGGAUUACAGGUGUAAGCGACCACGCCCGGCCUUUUAAAAUCGACUUGAGUCUCAUCUCCUGAAAUGCAAAAUGCAUUGGGCCUGUCUCUUACUUCUGCAUGUCUCAUAAUGCUUAGCACAGCACAAGCCCCGAGAGCGCAUCAUACACCCUGGGGUGGGGAGCUCCUGGCAGGGCUGGAUCCACUCACCAUUCCUGCCAUCCAUUGGCACUUGGCUCAGCACAGUUAGGCCAACAAGGACAUAAUAGACAAGUCCAAAACAGUACUGCACGACGUGAAUCAUGACAUUGGAGAAGACACUGACGUAGAGGCACUCGAAGAGUCUUCGUAAGCUGUGCAGCCACAGAAAUACUAGCACUAAGAAUGCAGACAGUGCCAGCUCCCCUCCUACAAUUCAGAAGGCAACAGGGUCAGCAUUUCUCUUCUGGGAUUAAUCCAAAGUUUUGUUUUUCUGUACUGUUAAGCAAAGUAUUAAAUCCCAUCUAACAUC